This 119-nucleotide ribosomal RNA is filed under the name Pteropus alecto (black flying fox). Lineage: Eukaryota; Metazoa; Chordata; Mammalia; Chiroptera; Pteropodidae. The record is from RNAcentral.
GUCUAUGGCCAUGCCACCCUGAACAAGCCCGAUCCCGUCUGAUCUCGGAAGCUAAGCAGGGUCGGGCCUGGUUAGUACUUGAAUGGGAGACCACCUAGGAAGACCAGGUACUGUAGGUG